Molecule: ribosomal RNA, 526 nt
Filed under: uncultured Planctomycetota bacterium
Lineage: Bacteria; Pseudomonadati; Planctomycetota
Description: bacterial SSU rRNA
Rfam family: Bacterial small subunit ribosomal RNA
Source: RNAcentral
UAACGAAUAUUCCGCAAUGCGCGAGAGCGUGACGGAGCAAUGCCGCGUGAAGGAUGAAGCACCUCGGUGUGUAAACUUCUGUCAGGGUUUAGGAAACAAAUGACCAUACCCAAAGGAAGAGCCGGCUAACUCUGUGCCAGCAGCCGCGGUAAUAUAGAGGGCUCAAGCGUUAAUCAGAAUCACUGGGCUUAAAGGGUGCGCAGGCGGACCCGUCAGUGUCUUGUGAAAUCCCACGGCUCAGCCGUGGAACUGCAGGGCAUACUGCGGGUCUUGAACUCGGCAGGGGCAACCGGAACUCUAGGUGGAGCGGUGAAAUGCGUAGAUAUCUAGAGGAACGCCAAAGGCGAAGGCAGGUUGCUGGGCCGAUGUUGACGCUCAGGCACGAAAGCGUGGGUAGCGAACGGGAUUAGAUACCCCGGUAGUCCACGCCCUAAACGAUGUGUACUAGAUCGAGGAGGUUUUGACGCCAUCUCGGUCGGAGCAAAAGUAUUAAGUACACCACCUGGGGAGUACGGUCGCAAGGCUA